GAGGGUUUGACGAAUGUGCUGCACUUUGACCUGUGAUGCACACACUUUGUGCUCAGAAUUUUGAAAUCAAAGCCAAGUCAAAGUGGUCUUACCAGUCAGAAACUACCAAUUGAAAAUCCAUGCCAGGAUUGCAGUUAAGUGAGGGAGAAUGGACUUAACAAGCCUUGCUACUGGAUUUGGAUGUGGUGUAUUUUUCUGCUGGCUUCUUAGGCAAGGGCGAGUGUCUCAGGUACUCGCAGGGGCAUCAAAGACUUCUGCAGCCUGUGGAUCUCGGACUCUCCCUCGAGUUGCUGGCCAUGGACAGCAAAAGCUUGUCCUUGUAGUGAGAAUGGAUCUCAAGAUGGGGAAAGGCAAGAUAGCAGCACAGUGCUCUCAUGCUACUCUUGCUGCUUACAAGAGAGCACUUGAUGAAUCACCUGGUGACCUCAGUUCUUGGAAAAGAUCUGGACAGGCAAAAGUUGUUGUGAAGGUUGAUGAUGAACAAUCAUUGUAUGACAUUGAGGAAAAGGCAAGAGAAGCAGGGCUGCUAACAGCCAUUAUCUCUGAUGCUGGACUGACUCAAACUGUCCCAGGAACAGUUAUGGUGAUGAGUGUUGGACCCGCACCAGCCUCUCUCCUGGAUGCUGUGACAGGACACUUGAAGCUAUUAUGAAGAAAGUAGGUAAUGCAGAAUUGAAAUGAGCACGCAAUGAGAUUGAAGGAAGAAAUAAUUCCAUUUGACCAAUCUCUGAGUUGCAAGUUGUACCUGUCGUGUGGUCUUCAAUGUUAAUGCCACCUCCACUUCAACCUCUGCUUGAUCAAUACACUUGAAAUGCUACACCA
Molecule: long non-coding RNA, 822 nt
Organism: Amphibalanus amphitrite
Lineage: Eukaryota; Metazoa; Arthropoda; Thecostraca; Balanomorpha; Balanidae
Exons: 2
Source: RefSeq, a predicted model, not a curated record